This 460-nucleotide ribosomal RNA is filed under the name uncultured bacterium. RNAcentral describes it as "partial 16S ribosomal RNA". It matches the Rfam family "Bacterial small subunit ribosomal RNA", at positions 338 to 795 of the family's 1533-position model. The record is from RNAcentral.
CCUACGGGAGGCAGCAGUGAGGAAUAUUGGUCAAUGGACUUACGCCUGAACCAGCCAAGUCGCGUGAGGGAAGACUGCCCUAUGGGUUGUAAACCUCUUUUGUCAGGGAGCAAUUGGCGCUACGUGUAGCGUUAUCGAGAGUACCUGAAGAAAAAGCAUCGGCUAACCCCGUGCCAGCAGCAGCGGUAAGACGGAGGAUGCGAGGGUUAUCCGGAUUUAUUGGGUUUAAAGGGUGCGUAGGCGGAAUGCCAAGUCAGCGGUAAAAUCGCGGGGCUCAACGUCACUCCGCGGUUGAAACUGGCGGUCUUGAGUGGGCGAGAGGUAUGCGGAAUGCGUGGUGUAGCGGUGAAAUGCAUAGAUAUCACGCAGAACUCCGAUUGCGAAGGCAGCAUACCGGCGUCCAACUGACGCUGAAGCACGAAAGCGUGGGUAUCGAACAGGAUUAGAUACCCCUGUAGUC